Molecule: ribosomal RNA, 320 nt
Filed under: uncultured Chlamydia sp.
Lineage: Bacteria; Pseudomonadati; Chlamydiota; Chlamydiia; Chlamydiales; Chlamydiaceae
Description: bacterial SSU rRNA
Rfam family: Bacterial small subunit ribosomal RNA
Source: RNAcentral
GUUGGUGGGGUAAUGGCUUACCAAGGCUAAGAAGUCUAGGCGGAUUGAGAGAUUGACCGUCAACACUGGGACUGAGAUACUGCCCAGACUCCUACGGGAGGCUGCAGUCGAGAAGCUUUCGCAAUGGACGCAAGUCUGACGAAGCGACGCUACGUGAGUGAUGAAGGCCUUAGGGUUGUAAAGCUCUUUCGCCCAUGAAGAAAAGCAGAGGACUAAUAAUCCUUUUGCUCUGACAUUAGUGGGUAAAGAAGCACCGGCUAACUCCGUGCCAGCAGCUGCGGUAAUACGGAGGGUGCAAGCGUUAAUCGGAUUUACUGGGA